AAACCUUAACAAUUUGACUGCAAUUAUUAUAUAAAGGAGUUUGUAAUUUAAUCGAUAAUACACGAUUUAUUUCACUUAUAUUUAUCUUGUAUAUCUCCGUUUAGAUUUUGUUUUUAAUAAUUAAAAUUUUCAAAAUAGUAAUUAUUCAUAUAUCAGGUCAAGGUGCAGUAUAUAUGAGAUAUUAUGCGCUACAAUAAAUAAAUAGUUAAAUGGAUUUAAUAUGAAAAAUUUAAUAAAAGUGGAUUUAUAAGUAAAAUAAAAAAUAAUAUUUAUUUGAAAAACAAAUAAUUGUGUACACAU
This 300-nucleotide ribosomal RNA is filed under the name Opisthopatus cinctipes. Its description in RNAcentral is "partial 12S ribosomal RNA". Lineage: Eukaryota; Metazoa; Onychophora; Udeonychophora; Euonychophora; Peripatopsidae. The record is from RNAcentral.